UUCGAAAUACUUGAUUAAAUUUUAAUUUUUAAUUUAAGUUCAAAUUAAAAUUUAAAAUUAUAUAUUUAAUUUUUAAAUUUUAAAUCAUAUUUUAAUUAAAAAAGUUGAAAAAAUAAAUUUAAUCCGAAUAAAUAUCCAUUCCGUCCGGAUUCAACUUCUAAUCCGGCCUUCUAGGCCGGAUUGAAAAAAGGGGUGAUUGAGCGAUUCUCAUUCCACUCGGGAAUGGAACUCCCACAUAUCAAACAUCCACAAAUGAAUUCACUCAUUCCCAUUCCGAUUCCAUGGUGAAAAAGAAGCGAACCAAACAUGCCCUAACAGUUAAAGUAUAUCUAAAUUGCACUAUUAGGAGCCCAGCAGUCGUUGCACUCUCAUAUUGUUAUAUAUCCAUCCACCAAAAUGAU
RNAcentral lists this long non-coding RNA (401 nucleotides) under Ananas comosus (pineapple). Its description in RNAcentral is "long non-coding RNA (ACOM_LNC012725)". The record is from RNAcentral. Lineage: Eukaryota; Viridiplantae; Streptophyta; Magnoliopsida; Poales; Bromeliaceae.